UGGCUCUCGCAUCGAUGAAGAACGCAGCGAAAAGCGAUAUGUAAUGUGAAUUGCAGAAUUCAGUGAAUCAUCGAAUCUUUGAACGCAUCUUGCGCUCUUGGGUAUUCCUAAGGGCAUGUCUGUUUGAGUGUCGCGUACCCUUAUCAAACAGCCGUUUGUUUGCAAAAAAGACCUACGGCAGUUUGCAAGUGGAGUUUGAGAUAAAGGGCCUUCUUUGGCGCCGCUUAUCUUGUUCUCUGAAAUUCAAAUAAGCACCGACGUGCUGCUUGGCGUAAUAAUUAUUUCGCAGAGACAGUUGCGUAUCAAAAAAGUGUCUUGUUCUAUACUAUACUACAUUAGAAAACUACCUUUCGUGGGUUGGUUUCUCUAUUAUAGACCUCAAAUCAGGCAGGACUACCCGCUGA
RNAcentral lists this unclassified non-coding RNA (404 nucleotides) under uncultured fungus. Its description in RNAcentral is "partial contains 5.8S ribosomal RNA and internal transcribed spacer 2". The stretch from base 1 to 133 matches the Rfam family "5.8S ribosomal RNA", at positions 22 to 154 of the family's 154-position model. The record is from RNAcentral. Lineage: Eukaryota; Fungi.